UACGGGGGGGGUAAGCGUUGUUCGGAAUUACUGGGCGUAAAGGGCUCGUAGGCGGCCAACUAAGUCAGACGUGAAAUCCCUCAGCUUAACUGGGGAACUGCGUCUGAUACUGGAUGGCUUGGAUUCGGGAGAGGAAUGCGGAAUUCCAGGUGUAGCGGUGAAAUGCGUAGAUAUCGGGAGGAACACCAAUGGCGAAGGCAGCUCGCUGGGACGGUACUGACGCUGAGGCGCGAAAGCGUGGGGAGCAAACAGG
Molecule: ribosomal RNA, 253 nt
Filed under: uncultured bacterium
Lineage: Bacteria
Description: partial 16S ribosomal RNA
Rfam family: Bacterial small subunit ribosomal RNA
Source: RNAcentral